AAGCUGCAGAAUACAAAAAGAUCACCUGUGUGAGAUAACUGAGUCCUGAAACAUACUCGUGUUUAAAGAUCUGGGAGGUGUAGAGGAAUUAUCAAAGGAGAAUGAGAAGGAGCAGCCAGUGAGGUGUGUAGAAAAACAAGAUAAGCAAAAAGAAAAGCAAGAGCAAUGGAACUGAACUUCCCUUUGGCAAAAAAUUUAGAAACUGAUAAUCAGACUCCUCUUUCUGUCUCUCUGAAGAUAAUGUAAAGCUGCAGCUCCAUAUCUGUGAAAACCCAUUCCAUAGCAUCUGCAUCUCUGGGUUGCUAAAUACCCUUGUCUAGUUACCUGAAUAUUAAUAGAUCCCAUGGAAUGAGAUGGCAUGAUUCAGACACAAGCAAUUACCAAAGGAUUUUGAAAAGCAGUAACUCCAAAUUAUCUUGUAAAGUUGAGAAUUAUCUGAGAAGAGCUAUUGUAAGAUUGGGAAUCAAGUAACAAAAUAAAGAAAUGAACUGUC
Molecule: long non-coding RNA, 493 nt
Organism: Mandrillus leucophaeus (drill)
Lineage: Eukaryota; Metazoa; Chordata; Mammalia; Primates; Cercopithecidae
Exons: 3
Source: RefSeq, a predicted model, not a curated record